RNAcentral lists this ribosomal RNA (479 nucleotides) under uncultured bacterium. Its description in RNAcentral is "partial 16S ribosomal RNA". It matches the Rfam family "Bacterial small subunit ribosomal RNA", at positions 28 to 507 of the family's 1533-position model. The record is from RNAcentral.
GAUGAACGCUGGCGGCGUGCUUAACACAUGCAAGUCGAGCGAGAAGUUUUUAACAGUUUCUUCGGAUGAAAUUUAAAAUGGAAAGCGGCGGACUGGUGAGUAACGCGUAUGCAACCUUCCCCAUACAAAGGGAUAGCAUUUGGACACGAAUAUUAAUACCUUAUGAUACUUAACUAGUGCAUGCUAGGUAGUUCAUAGAUUUUUCGGUUUGGGAUGGGCUUGCGUCUGAUUAGCUAGUUGGUGAGGUAACGGCUCACCAAGGCGACGAUCAGUAACCGACCAGAGAAGGUGAAAGGACAAAAGGGAACUGAGACACAGACAAAAAACAUACGGGAGGGAGCAGAGGGGAAAAAUGCAAAAGGGGGGAAAAACUGAAGCAGCAACGCGGCGGGAAAGAGGAAGGCCGUUGGGGAGUAAAGUUAGGUUAUAGGAGAUGAAAACUGACAGUAACAUAGGAGAAAGCCCCGGCUAACUACGUG